CUCGAAUUUCCAAUAGUUUCCAUUCUUCUACAGAUUUUGCCAUCCCCUUAGAUACCAUACUCCUCCAGGUCUCGAAAUCCUUUUAGCUUCCAUUCUUCUCCAGGUUUUGAAAUCUCUUUACAUUCCAUUCUUCUCCAGGUCUCAAAUUCCCUCUACAUUCCAUUCUUCUCCAGGUCUCAAAUUCCAUUUCCAUUCCAUUCUUCUCCAGGUCUCCAAUUCCCUCUACAUUCCAUUCUUCUCCAGGUCUCCAAUUCCCUCUACAUUCCAUUCUUCUCCAGGUCUCCAGUUCCCUCUACAUUCCAUUCUUCUCCAGGUCUCCAAUUCCCUUUAGAUUCCAUUCUUCUCCAGGUCUCCAAUUCCCUCUACAUUUCAUUCUUCUCCAGGGUCUCCAAUUCCCUCUACAUUCCAUUCUUCUCCAGGUCUCCAAUUCCCUCUACAUUUCAUUCUUCUCCAGGUCUCCAAUUCCCUUUAGAUUCCAUUCUUCUCCAGGUCUCAAAUUCCCUCUACAUUACAUUCUUCUCCAGGUCUCCAAUUCCCUUUAGAUUCCAUAGUUCUCCAG
Ictalurus punctatus (channel catfish) is the source of this 559-nucleotide long non-coding RNA. The record is from Ensembl. Lineage: Eukaryota; Metazoa; Chordata; Actinopteri; Siluriformes; Ictaluridae.